ACAAAGUGUUAAUCCCCCCUCUUUUCUCAUCCCCCUUCAUACACAAACACGUUACAGAGAAAGAGAAACAGAGAGGGAGAAAACAGCGAUCAUCAUACCAACCAAGAAAUACAUAUAACAUCGAUCCUUAUUGCCCCAAUUCAUCCUUGAUUUUGCUCACUUUGUUUUCACAUAGAUGAAGAGGUUCAACCCAACGAUUGCAUCAAAAUCUACACGGGUAACAUAUUAUUAUACAUCCGUGUUUUCGCUAUAAUCCUUAUUUAUGUUGGGGGUUUCAUUUAGUACAGAGUUCUUGAUUCAUUUUGCAUGUACUGUUUUUGUCAUACUCUUACUUACCGGUUUGUUUUAUGAUUCUGGGGUUGAGUUGUGGUUUCAUAGUCCGAGUACUGUUUUUGUGCUUUAUACUUCAAAAUAAAGUAAAAACUCUAUAAAAUAAUACACUUGCACCAUCAAAAUUUAUUAAUUAAAAGAGUUAUUAAUUAAUCGAUAAAUUAAUAAUUAUUAAUUUAUAUAUUAAUUAAUAUUUUAUUAAUUUAUAGUAGAAUACUUAGUUUACAAACACCUUUCAAGCUUCCACUUAAUUAUUGUAUACAAUGCAUGUAUAUCAAAUGAACGGCCCAAUUUGAAAGAAACCUUCAAUCUCCCACCUUAUUAUGCUUCUUGUGUUCAAUGUAUCACUUUAUGGACAUUAAAAAUAUUUUCUAUAUAAAUACAAGAUCAAACUAGGUUAACACAAACAAAUCAUACACACAACAUGGCUUCCCAUCUUAAAGGUGUGAAAAAAACAACAAUGACAGACGAGAUUCGAAGAGCAUUAUGCAAGCACAACAGGGAUAAUCCAAGUCUCACUCAAAAGCAAUUGCAAGAAUGGGUUCAUAGUAACUAUGGUUUGCAGGUGAGUCAAGCGACAAUAUCGAAUACAGUUAAGCGGUUUUUAGAGUAUCUCUCAAUUGAGUCAUUUUUCAAGAAACCUUCAUAAAUCAUUCAUGUAAUAUGCUAUAUAUAAGGAAUUAUUAAUUUAUAUUUUAUAUGGGGUCUAAAGAAAUUAUCAAAAAUGUAUUAUCUUAUAAUUUUAGUGAAUUAUUAAUUUAGCACCCUAUCCCCGAGUCGGAACCGGCAAAAAAUAUUAUAUUAGAGAGUUUAUUAAAUAAUCGAGUAUUAAUUUAUCGAGUUUCUACUAUAUAUAAAUAAAUGUGGUUGAUAAAGCUAAUUAUAAGUCUUCACUAAAGUUGAUUCCACAAAAUUCAAUUUCCCCCAAUUAUUGAUUGGUAAUUGAUUGAUUAAUUUGUUGAUUGAUCAUCUAGGGUUUGUGAUUAAAGGUCAGAUUUUUAUUGCUAUUUUGGUUAUGCUUUUGUUGUUUUUGUGUUUCUUUACUGAGCUUAUCAAAUGGGGUUCCAAGUAAAGAAGUCAGCAACCAAUCUGCUGGUCAAACUAAGAGACUUCUUCGUGUACGGAAAAAAGCUUCAGGUGAUUUGACUCCAACAACUCCAAAAGCUGUUAAGGCAAAACAUGCUGUGCAUGAUGAAGUAAAUUUACAUGUCUGAUACACAUGUUAAGCUUCAGAAGACAUUGGAACGAAUUUUGAUGCACCAAAGUUGCUUUUGAAUGCAUUGCAUGGACUACUUAGAGGAGUAAAUUUUUCUGAGUGUAACUUUUAAUAGUAUUUCUUGAUUUUGGUAGGAGGAUGAUUGUUUACAAUCUUAAAAGUGAGGUUUUUGUUUACAUACAAUAUUGUUUAUCUUUUUUACCUUGUGUAAAAUGUAUGUUGGAGAUUCUGCGUUCAGCUAGCUUGCAAAAAAAGAAAUAAAUAAAUAACUGUCAGUUUGUCUUGUUCUCUACCAAAAUAACUUAGUUUUGACAAUGAAGAGUGGAGAGCGAGCUGCAAAUAUCGCACUAGCAGAGUAAACAGUCAAAUGUGGUUUGGAGGCUGCGACAGGAUUAAAAGAGAAACAACCGGUCAACCGGUGAUUUCAAGAUUUGCGAGUAGUCGGAAGACGGUGAAAGUCAGUCUCGAAGGUCAGUUUUCUGAUUAAUUAAUUUUUACCCACCGGUUUUCAAUACGGACCCGCGGAGAACCCUAACCUUCGUGUUGUUGUUUACGGUAUGCUCUUCCCAGUUCUAAUAAUGUAUCUCGCGAUGUAAUUUUGUUCAAAUAAUCAUGAAUUGUCUGUUGUUGUUCAUUUGUUAUUGUCAUAUUGAUCGUGUAUCUAACUAUCUAAGCAAGUAAGCAUGCAAUUUUGUUAAGAAAAUAAAUUGGCCUUGGUUUGAGAGUGAACAUAUAUUUGAUUUGAAACUGUAGGGUUUUUAAUAUGUGAAAGAUAUGGGAUGGUUAAAAAUGCUUUCUUGAUGUUCAUCAAUCACCGGUGGAUGCCGACGAGGAGUUCAUGACCACUAAUACCACCUCAACACCGAGGGUUUUUAUCAAAGAAAUGGUCAUGAAGAGCAAGGAUGCUAAUGAUAGUACUGAACAAGCUUUGCUUGAUGAAUUGAAUGCAUUAGAUGAACACCUCAAGAGUAAAUGGAGAAAUGAUCUCAGCCGUUGAUUUGAGUCUGCCCCAAAGCUUUACCAUCUUGAGGUGGCUCUUGGUCAUUUUUGGUCAGAUUGUUUGAGAAGUCACUGUAGUAUGUGAAGUAUUUCAGUCGUUACAAGAAUACAGUUGCUGUUUGACAAGUUCGACAUUGAUUACAAUUUUUUUUAUUAACGAGAAAUUAAGUGGGUCAGUAUUUCCAAUGGUUACAACGAUUUUGUAGUGGAACUUAUCAAACCCGGAACAUGUGAUGAUAUAGUGAUUUGUACCAAGUGCAUUGGGAUACUGUACCUUUAU
Long non-coding RNA from Helianthus annuus (common sunflower), 2825 nucleotides. RefSeq lists it as uncharacterized. NCBI's taxonomy places the organism in Eukaryota, Viridiplantae, Streptophyta, Magnoliopsida, Asterales, Asteraceae. The record is from RefSeq and is a predicted model, not a curated record. The transcript has 4 exons.